Small nuclear RNA from Piliocolobus tephrosceles (Ugandan red Colobus), 104 nucleotides. Lineage: Eukaryota; Metazoa; Chordata; Mammalia; Primates; Cercopithecidae. The record is from Ensembl.
GUGCUCGCUUCCGCAGCACAUAUACUAAAAUUGGAAUGAUACAGAGAUUAGCAUGGCCCCUGCACAAGGAUGACAUGCAAAUUCACGAGGCGUUCCAUAUUUUU